Ananas comosus (pineapple) is the source of this 2125-nucleotide RNA transcript. It is a transcript of the gene named ultraviolet-B receptor UVR8, with no coding region annotated. The record is from RefSeq and is a predicted model, not a curated record. Lineage: Eukaryota; Viridiplantae; Streptophyta; Magnoliopsida; Poales; Bromeliaceae. The transcript has 8 exons.
UACGCACAAAACACUCCGUCAACCUCGCCGCGGAGCGCGAUGCCUCGCCCCUCCCUCCUCCGCCUCCGCCGCCUCUCCUCCGCCGUCUCCGGCGGCGGCGCCGCCGCGCCGGUCCUCUUCCGCCACCCCGCCUCCGGUGGCGGCGGAGAUGCGCGGCCAACCACCGUCCAGAUCCUCUCCUGGGGCCGCGGCAGCUCCGGCCAACUCGGUGGCGGUAAGGAGGAGAUCCGCUUCUACCCCUCCCAUGUCGCCUCCCUCCUCUUCCCCCCCGCCUCCUCCCCCCCUCCCCUCGCCCCCUCCCCCGGUCGCCUCCUCCCCCUUCCUCCUCCUCCGCCGCCGCCGCCUACCUCCGCCGCUGAGGCGGAUGUGGGGAUCUCGUGCGGGCUCUUCCACUCGGCGCUCCUCGUCGACGGCAGGGUCUGGAUGUGGGGGAAGGGCGAUGGGGGGAGGCUAGGGUUCGGGGACGAGGCCUCCCUCUUCGUCCCCACCCUAAACCCUAAUCUCGAGGGCGUGCGCGCGCUCGCGCUCGGCGGAAUCCACUCCGCCGCGCUCACGCGCGACGGCGAGGUAUUCACCUGGGGUUACGGUGGAUUUGGAGCUCUAGGUCAUUCUGUUUAUCACAGGGAGCUUUUGCCUAGAUUAGUAAAUGGUCCUUGGAGUGGAACCAUAUCACAUCUUGCUACCAGUGGAGCCCAUACUGCGGCAAUAACUGAUUCAGGUGAACUUUACACUUGGGGCCGUGAUGAAGGUGACGGCAGAUUAGGGCUUGGAAGUGGAGGUGGGCCCGGCGAAGCAGGCUCGCUUAGUAUCCCUUCCAAAGUAAAUGCAUUGCCUGUGCCCAUAGCAGCUGUAGCUUGUGGCGGUUUUUUCACAAUGGCGCUAACUUCAGAUGGCCAGGUGUGGAGUUGGGGAGCAAAUUCGAAUUUUGAACUAGGAAGAGAGAACAAUACCAGUGAUUGGAGGCCGAAGCCUAUUCAAAGCUUGGAAAAUGUCCACAUCGUUCAGAUAGCUUGUGGCGGUUACCAUACUUUAGCCUUGACAGAUAAAGGUGAAGUUCUUUCAUGGGGACAUGGUGGACACGGUCAACUUGGUCAUCCUUCUAUCCAAAAUCAGAAAAACCCUAUUGUUAUCGAAGCUUUAGCCAAUGAGCGAAUUGUCUAUAUUGCUUGUGGCGGUUCAUCCUCAGCUGCUGUUUCAGAGAAAGGAAAUUUAUACAUGUGGGGAAAUGCGAGGGAUUGUCAACUAGGUGUCCCCGGAUUGCGGGACAUCCAACCGCUUCCCAUUAAAGUAAAUUUCCUUAGCGAGGACGACGACCUGGGCCCUCAUCAUGUCUUUGCUGUUGCAGUCGGUGCAUCGCAUGCCAUGUGCUUGGUUACAAGGACAAAUCCUGCUUCUUAGGAGAUUUAGGGGCUGUUUGGUCUCGCUGGAACUUUUGCAGGAGUGCUUUUAGCACAGAGUUUUUUCAAAAAGUUGCAACAAUGUCUUUUUCCGCUAUAAUCUCCUUGACAGUUACUCGCUCAAGGUAGAAGAAGAAGCUCCAAAUUGGAACCUACGUUUUUCGUGUUGAUAUGCUCAUUUUAGCAUCUUGCAACGGCCAAUCGGGGGGUUUCUCUGCUGCCAGGUAUGAAUCCUCCUGUGUCUUUACUGGUAUUACUUAAGCUGCAAAGUGCAUGUCCUACAAAUCUUAGUAUAGUAGCACAAAAUAUUCAAAGGGAGAAAGUAAAGAUAUAAAGAGAGAGAAAGAGAGAUCAAAGUGAAUGUGUGGGACUCUUCUCUUAAUCUCCUUUUAGCACCUUAAGUGCUUUUAGAAAAGCUUGAUGGUGUCUUUAGCUAUUAAUAUAUUCAAGUAUCUCAUCAUGAUGAACAGAUCAUUGACUAACUUAUCAUGCUUGUUCACACCUCCCCUUGCAGUUAUCAUACAUAAAUUGUGUGCUCAUAUAUAUACUUAGGAAAAAGUGCUACUAAGGAUGGUAAUUGAGGUUUGGUAUCUCUAAUGAUUGGCUUAUUUAUUAAUGCAAAUAUGGAUUGAUGCAUCCUCUAAGAUUUGUUUCAGCUCGAUGGGCUUCUACUAAACAGCUGUUUGAGUAAAACUAUUUGAAUAAAUAUUAACAACUCUGUCUCUUAA